GACGAACGCUGGCGGCGUGCUUAACACAUGCAAGUCGAACGGAAAGGCCCUGCUUUUGUGGGGUGCUCGAGUGGCGAACGGGUGAGUAACACGUGAGUAACCUGCCCUUGACUUUGGGAUAACUUCAGGAAACUGGGGCUAAUACCGGAUAGGAGCUCCUGCUGCAUGGUGGGGGUUGGAAAGUUUCGGCGGUUGGGGAUGGACUCGCGGCUUAUCAGCUUGUUGGUGGGGUAGUGGCUUACCAAGGCUUUGACGGGUAGCCGGCCUGAGAGGGUGACCGGCCACAUUGGGACUGAGAUACGGCCCAGACUCCUACGGGAGGCAGCAGUGGGGAAUAUUGCACAAUGGGCGGAAGCCUGAUGCAGCAACGCCGCGUGCGGGAUGACGGCCUUCGGGUUGUAGACCGCUUUCGCCUGUGACGAAGCGUGAGUGACGGUAAUGGGUAAAGAAGCGCGGGCUAACUACGUG
Molecule: ribosomal RNA, 468 nt
Filed under: uncultured bacterium
Lineage: Bacteria
Description: partial 16S ribosomal RNA
Rfam family: Bacterial small subunit ribosomal RNA
Source: RNAcentral